RNAcentral lists this ribosomal RNA (233 nucleotides) under uncultured bacterium. Its description in RNAcentral is "partial 16S ribosomal RNA". It matches the Rfam family "Bacterial small subunit ribosomal RNA", at positions 118 to 347 of the family's 1533-position model. The record is from RNAcentral.
UGAGCAAUCUGCCCUUCUCUUCGGAAUAAGCGUUGGAAACGACGUCUAAUGCCGAAUACGACCUCCUUUCGCAUGAUCGGAGGUGGAAAGCUCCGGCGGAGAAGGAUGAGCUCGCGGCCUAUCAGCUAGUUGGUGUGGGUAAUGGCCCACAAGGCGACGACGGGUAGCCGGCCUGAGAGGGUGACCGGCCACACGUGGGACUGAGACACGGCCCAGACCUCCGUACGGGGAGG